UACGUAGGGUGCGAGCGUUAAUCGGAAUUACUGGGCGUAAAGGGUGCGCAGGCGGUUCUGCAAGUCAGGCGUGAAAGCCCCGGGCUUAACCUGGGAAUGGCGCUUGAAACUACAGGACUGGAGUAUGGCAGAGGGAGGUGGAAUUCCACGUGUAGCGGUGAAAUGCGUAGAGAUGUGGAGGAACACCGAUGGCGAAGGCGGCAUCCUGGACCGGCAUUGACGCUGAGGCGCGAAAGCUAGGGGAGCAAACGGG
This 253-nucleotide ribosomal RNA is filed under the name uncultured bacterium. RNAcentral describes it as "partial 16S ribosomal RNA". It matches the Rfam family "Bacterial small subunit ribosomal RNA", at positions 524 to 776 of the family's 1533-position model. The record is from RNAcentral.